This 148-nucleotide non-coding RNA is filed under the name Nomascus leucogenys (northern white-cheeked gibbon). Lineage: Eukaryota; Metazoa; Chordata; Mammalia; Primates; Hylobatidae. The record is from Rfam by way of RNAcentral.
GCUGGGUGUGGUGGUGCGCACCUGUAAUCCCAGCUACUCAGGAGGCUGAGGCAGGAGAAUUGCUUGAACCCGGGUGUCGGAGGUUGCAGUGAGCCGAGAUUGUGCCACUGCACUCCAGCCUGGGUGACAGAGCAAGACUCCAUCUCAA